Molecule: ribosomal RNA, 207 nt
Filed under: uncultured bacterium
Lineage: Bacteria
Description: partial 16S ribosomal RNA
Rfam family: Bacterial small subunit ribosomal RNA
Source: RNAcentral
UGCGUAGGUGGUGAGGUAAGUCUGAUGUGAAAGCUCGGAGCUUAACUCCGAAAUGGCAUUGGAAACUACCUUGCUGGAGGGUUGGAGGGGGGACUGGAAUACUUGGUGUAGCAGUGAAAUGCGUAGAUAUCAAGUGGAACACCAGUGGCGAAGGCGAGUCCCUGGACAACUCCUGACACUGAGGCACGAAAGCUAGGGGAGCAAACG